AGAGUUUGAUCUUGGCUCAGGACGAACGCUGGCGGCGUGCUUAAUACAUGCAAGUAGAACGCUGAAGACUGGUGCUUGCACUAGUCAGAUGAGUUGCGAACGGGUGAGUAACGCGUAGGUAACCUACCUCAUAGCGGGGGAUAACUAUUGGAAACGAUAGCUAAUACCGCAUGACAAUUAAGUACUCAUGUACUAAAUUUAAAAGGAGCAAUUGCUUCACUAUGAGAUGGACCUGCGUUGUAUUAGCUAGUUGGUGAGGUAACGGCUCACCAAGGCCACGAUACAUAGCCGACCUGAGAGGGUGAUCGGCCACACUGGGACUGAGACACGGCCCAGACUCCUACGGGAGGCAGCAGUAGGGAAUCUUCGGCAAUGGGGGCAACCCUGACCGAGCAACGCCGCGUGAGUGAAGAAGGUUUUCGGAUCGUAAAGCUCUGUUGUUAGAGAAGAACGGUAAUGGGAGUGGAAAAUCCAUUACGUGACGGUAACUAACCAGAAAGGGACGGCUAACUACGUGCCAGCAGCCGCGGUAAUACGUAGGUCUCGAGCGUUGUCCGGAUUUAUUGGGCGUAAAGCGAGCGCAGGCGGUUAUUUAAGUCUGAAGUUAAAGGCCGUGGCUCAACCAUGGUUCGCUUUGGAAACUGGAUAACUUGAGUGCAGAAGGGGAGAGUGGAAUUCCAUGUGUAGCGGUGAAAUGCGUAGAUAUAUGGAGGAACACCGGUGGCGAAAGCGGCUCUCUGGUCUGUAACUGACGCUGAGGCUCGAAAGCGUGGGGAGCAAACAGGAUUAGAUACCCUGGUAGUCCACGCCGUAAACGAUGAGUGCUAGGUGUUAGGCCCUUUCCGGGGCUUAGUGCCGCAGCU
RNAcentral lists this ribosomal RNA (863 nucleotides) under uncultured bacterium. Its description in RNAcentral is "bacterial SSU rRNA". It matches the Rfam family "Bacterial small subunit ribosomal RNA", at positions 8 to 853 of the family's 1533-position model. The record is from RNAcentral.